This 490-nucleotide ribosomal RNA is filed under the name uncultured bacterium. RNAcentral's name for it is "partial 16S ribosomal RNA". It matches the Rfam family "Bacterial small subunit ribosomal RNA", at positions 30 to 507 of the family's 1533-position model. The record is from RNAcentral.
AGUGAACGCUGGCGGCAGGCCUAAUACAUGCAAGUCGAACGGCAGAACAGUGGUUCUUGCUCCAUGCGUGGCGGGUGGCGGACGGGAGGGGAAUACAUGGGCCUCUGCGCAGUGGUGGGGGAUAACGUAGGGACACUUACGCUAAUAACGCCCGCGGCCUGCGGGGGAAGGACGUGGGGCUCCGAGCCUGGCGCGUUAGGCUGGGCCCAUGUUCGAUUAGCGAGUGGGCGGGGCAAAGGCCCACCACGGCGCCGAUCGAUAGCUGGUCUGUGAGGAUGAUCAGCCACACUGGGACUGAGACACGGCCCAGACACCUACGGGGGGCAGCAGUAGGGAAUAUUGGACAAUGGGCGCAAGCCUGAUCCAGCCACGCCGCGUGAGUGAAGAAGGCCCUCGGGUUGUAAAACUCUUUUGUCCGGGAAGAAAAGCAUCGUACUAAUACCUCGGGGUGCUUACGGUACCGGAAGAAUAAGCACCGGCGAACUUCGUG